UAGUACAACAAUUAUGCAAGUGCGUGCAAAUUAGUCCAAGAACUAGUAAACUGAUCAAUCCAAUACAAGAACUUGACACUUUGGUGCGCAUACGAUCCAAAUCCCGCCACGUCACGUAUUUGUCCGCAGUGGAUGAUGAGGUGGCAGGGUGGGAUCAGCUUGGCUCGCGGAAACAUUGGCUCGGCACGACUCAGCCCGGCUUGAUAGACAUCAUGCAACAAAGGGAUCCCACGUAGGGUUUGCGGCAACAAAAAUAUGGUUUCACGUCGGAACUUGCCGCAGCCGCCGGCGAUCGGAACUCGCCGCUGCCGCUGGUGAUCGGCACUCGCCACUGCCGCCGGUGAUCGAGAUCGAGUUGCCGCUGCCGCCGGUGAUGGAGCCUCAUCGUAGACAACCCAACGCUAGUCCUCCUUCAUACGAUGUAAAUGAUGAUUACUUCAGUGUAGAGAUACAUUAUAAAGGAUUUUUCUGUGGACUUGGCAAGAAAAGGAUAUAUAUGGACAACAAGAUAGAUUGGUUUGAUUUUUGUAAUACUGAUACAUGGUCCCUAUUGUAUGUUGAUGAUUUCUUGGGGAUUCUAGAAUGCAAUAAUUCAGCAUCUACAAGAGUUUAUUGGUGUGAACCAGGGAAGUCAGUGGGAGAUGGAUUGAGAAGUUUGAGGGGUGAUGCCGAUAUCAUUGCAAUGUCAAAUGUGGCUUCUACUUAAGAUUAUGCCAGCUAGACUGAACAAUGAACUAGAUCCUAGUGAAAAUGCUGACACUAUGGUGUUUAAUCUUCUACGUCACGUAUAGCAAUCUAGUUAUUUUUACAACAUUAUUUGACAUUAGUUAAUUCCAAGGUAUAUUAAACUUUGUCAAUACUAUGUAGGAAAACAUAGCACGGUCAGCAA
Panicum virgatum (switchgrass) is the source of this 889-nucleotide long non-coding RNA. RefSeq lists it as uncharacterized. NCBI's taxonomy places the organism in Eukaryota, Viridiplantae, Streptophyta, Magnoliopsida, Poales, Poaceae. The transcript has 3 exons. The record is from RefSeq and is a predicted model, not a curated record.